AUUUAUUCCCAAAUGCUUCAGCUUAGCCCGUGGUCCUUUUGCUCCCUUUGCAAAUUCAACAGCUUGCAAUUCAUGAGGUGUGGAGGAAGAGCUCAUUUGAUUUUGGAUCUAGACUACGAGUAUUAGCAACUAGAGAUUAAAGCAAUGGAAUAUAUUUUGGUGGUAGAUCAUUGGAGCCAUAGAUUGAAGACAUUUUUUGGAGCUAUGUUAGUUGAUGGAUUGUUUUAAUAUAUUUUCUUAGGAUGGUGAGUUUGGCAUUUGUGGAACUCUUUGAGAUUGUAUUAGGAGACUUUAUUGUUAAAGUUUUUGUUUUUAUGGAUUUCAUAGGAAAGAUUUUGAUGGUUUGAA
Molecule: long non-coding RNA, 348 nt
Organism: Quercus lobata
Lineage: Eukaryota; Viridiplantae; Streptophyta; Magnoliopsida; Fagales; Fagaceae
Exons: 3
Source: RefSeq, a predicted model, not a curated record